AAAGAGCCAGAGGUGUGGUGGCGACAGAAGUGGCGCCAAGUUGCAACGUAUCCUGGAGCCAUAGUGGCAAAUACACCUGCGAUAGGUUGACAAACAGACGUGUCGCCAUAUACAGAACGGCAACCUACAAGUUAAGAGAGAAAAGUCAUUCGAGCAUGUUGACAGCCCAAUGCCAAGGAGAAACUUGAUUGAAGUGGAAUUCCAACCUAUUCAAGACGUGACUGGCAUACCGUGAAAGCCAAAAACAUUUCAGCAGCAGUGGGAUUCAAAAAAGAAAUGUAACAAGAUGCCCCACAAUCGUUCCGAAAAUCAUACACAACUUACGUUGAGCUCUCUACGAUAAACUAGUAGUCGCGAAAUCCCUAAAUAUAACUAGAUCAAAGCCUUUUUCGAGAGCGUAACUUCGAGUCCAACUUGUUGGCGACCCCAAAAUUCGUUAAACAGAAGGUUUAUGCUCGUGGGAAUUGGCUCGUAUUCGUUCAGCAUCGACUGAGCAUUUAUAAAAUGAAGUGAUGUUGAGCUUUACCUGAUAGAAUUGUUUUUCUUUCAGCCAAUCAAACGCUUUCAUUGCGGAAGGGCUAUUCGGCUGGUUCAUACUGGAAUAGUACACCUGGUUGUGCUUAACCUCGUCCACGCCGCAGUGGAAAAAAAUUGAGAAAAGGGCGCCAAUGCCAACCGCAAUUAACACGACAUCCUAUUAGGAAAGAAUUCAUAGAACGUCAUCUUAUUUGACUUGCUAUGGAAUUACUAAAAUAAAAAAUAUCUAUAAUAAAAGAAAUAUUAACCCGAAAAUCUGUCGUAUCUUCCGGUCCAACUACUUGUUGUGAAGCUCCGGUAACACCCAGUGUCACCCACGUCAUAGCGUAAAUAGUAAUAUUAGAGGCAACCGUAAAUGCAUACCUAAAUCAAGAUCAAAGCGAAGGCAAGAUAUUUUUAGAAACCAUCAACAAUGAAACCAGAUUCAGUAAAAGCCAAAAUAAUGAUCUUUUAAUUGCCCUAUAACGAUGUAAAGCUACAAGAGGAGUCACAGAUACGAAGCACUACAACAGAGAAGAUGAAAGAAACUCAACUGAUAGGGUAUGCUUUCUGGACCUGCUAGCAUUAAAUUACUGAGGGGAAAAUUUGGAAGAUUCUGUUCCUAGUAUCAAAUGCUAUACGUUCUUUCCUUGUGGCCUUAUAAUUAUCCUUAAACUCGAGCUAGUGUUGCUUUUGAUCAAAUUACCUCCAACAAUGAUAAACACAAUAAGGUUUUUCUUUAUGGGUAUCUAACGCUACUGCCGAAUGCCAAAAGUAACAAAGCCAAGAAAGUAAAAUACCUCAGGGCAGUAAGUUCCGUUCGCGAACGCUCAUCAUGUGCUAGCACUGGUAUAAGUGACAGGUGAGAAACUUGGACGGCAGCCCAGCCAAACUGGAAGAUUACGAUAAAACCGGAGAAAUAAAUGACUUGAGCCCACUGCGAUGAAGUCGCACAGCCAACACAAGGCAUGAAAAUAAAUGGGAAGCUUGCCAGGAUGCACAUUGUUCC
Daphnia magna is the source of this 1525-nucleotide long non-coding RNA. RefSeq lists it as uncharacterized. The record is from RefSeq and is a predicted model, not a curated record. The transcript has 2 exons. NCBI's taxonomy places the organism in Eukaryota, Metazoa, Arthropoda, Branchiopoda, Diplostraca, Daphniidae.